Molecule: ribosomal RNA, 779 nt
Filed under: uncultured bacterium
Lineage: Bacteria
Description: bacterial SSU rRNA
Rfam family: Bacterial small subunit ribosomal RNA
Source: RNAcentral
CGCUGGCGGCGUGCCUAAUACAUGCAAGUAGAACGCUGAAGACUGGUGCUUGCACUAGUCAGAUGAGUUGCGAACGGGUGAGUAACGCGUAGGUAACCUACCUCAUAGCGGGGGAUAACUAUUGGAAACGAUAGCUAAUACCGCAUGACAAUUAAGUACUCAUGUACUAAAUUUAAAAGGAGCAAUUGCUUCACUAUGAGAUGGACCUGCGUUGUAUUAGCUAGUUGGUGAGGUAACGGCUCACCAAGGCCACGAUACAUAGCCGACCUGAGAGGGUGAUCGGCCACACUGGGACUGAGACACGGCCCAGACUCCUACGGGAGGCAGCAGUAGGGAAUCUUCGGCAAUGGGGGCAACCCUGACCGAGCAACGCCGCGUGAGUGAAGAAGGUUUUCGGAUCGUAAAGCUCUGUUGUUAGAGAAGAACGGUAAUGGGAGUGGAAAAUCCAUUACGUGACGGUAACUAACCAGAAAGGGACGGCUAACUACGUGCCAGCAGCCGCGGUAAUACGUAGGUCUCGAGCGUUGUCCGGAUUUAUUGGGCGUAAAGCGAGCGCAGGCGGUUAUUUAAGUCUGAAGUUAAAGGCCGUGGCUCAACCAUGGUUCGCUUUGGAAACUGGAUAACUUGAGUGCAGAAGGGGAGAGUGGAAUUCCAUGUGUAGCGGUGAAAUGCGUAGAUAUAUGGAGGAACACCGGUGGCGAAAGCGGCUCUCUGGUCUGUAACUGACGCUGAGGCUCGAAAGCGUGGGGAGCAAACAGGAUUAGAUACCCUGGUAGUCC